RNAcentral lists this long non-coding RNA (396 nucleotides) under Rattus norvegicus (Norway rat). Its description in RNAcentral is "long non-coding RNA NONRATT012730". The record is from RNAcentral. Lineage: Eukaryota; Metazoa; Chordata; Mammalia; Rodentia; Muridae.
GUCCAUAGAAAUUCACUAGCGCAUGUAAUUCACAAGCUGAGCCAUGCACUGUAUUCAGUGCAGACCGAAGUCCCGAGUGUGGGUCCUCAGCACCUAUGUAAGAGCCAAGCAUGCAGGCCUGUACUUGUAGUCUCAGUGCUGGGGAGUGGUGGGAGGAGAGAGAAACCCUGUGCCAGGAAACAGGAUGGAGAGCGAUUGAGGCAGACUUGGAUCUUUGGCAUGAAGCACACACAUUGUGUGCACACACAAACAUACUGGCAUCAGGAAAGAGAGGGAGAAAGAGAAGGUGUUAUUUCAGUUUAAUAGAGAAAAUGGUUACUCAAUAAAUGAACACAACUGCUUAUUUGCUUGAGAUGAAAUACAUUGGGCCAUUCUGCUCAUGACAUAUCCACAAAG